CCUACGGGAGGCAGCAGUGGGGGAUAUUGCACAAUGGGGGGAACCCUGAUGCAGCGACGCCGCGUGGGUGAAGAAGCGCCUCGGCGCGUAAAGCCCUGUCAGCAGGGAAGAAAAUGACGGUACCUGAAGAAGCAGCCCCGGCUAACUACGUGCCAGCAGCCGCGGUAAUACGUAGGGGGCAAGCGUUAUCCGGAGUUACUGGGUGGAAAGGGGGCGCAGACGGCGAUGCAAGCCAGGAGUGAAAGCCCGGGGCCCAACCCCGGGACUGCUCUUGGAACUGCGUGGCUGGAGUGCAGGAGGGGCAGGCGGAAUUCCUGGUGUAGCGGGGAAAUGCGUAGAUAUCAGGAGGAACACCGGUGGCGAAGGCGGCCUGCUGGACUGCAACUGACGUUGAGGCCCGAAAGCGUGGGGAGCAAACAGGAUUAGAUACCCCUGUAGUC
RNAcentral lists this ribosomal RNA (440 nucleotides) under uncultured bacterium. RNAcentral describes it as "partial 16S ribosomal RNA". It matches the Rfam family "Bacterial small subunit ribosomal RNA", at positions 338 to 795 of the family's 1533-position model. The record is from RNAcentral.